This is a long non-coding RNA of Homo sapiens (human), 1674 nucleotides long. Ensembl annotates it as RETREG1 antisense RNA 1. Its record names the gene RETREG1-AS1. The record is from Ensembl. NCBI's taxonomy places the organism in Eukaryota, Metazoa, Chordata, Mammalia, Primates, Hominidae.
ACUUUCAACGAAGGAGACAGACAUUUCCCUGGCCUUUCUGAAGAGCGCUUUUUGGAGAGACAAACCUGUUGCUCAGGGGCUGAGCAUUCCCGUGUGUUCUCCCUGUACUUCACCUAAAAAUAUGCCUGUUUUCCACACUGUGCACACCCGGGGGUGGGUGCUGGGCAUACUCCACCUGCUUGUUUGCCUCCCGUUUUCUCAUCAGGGAGUAAACACAGUAAACCUAACGCUCCAGGGGAAGGAAAAAACAAAUCAUUCAGGGCCCAUCUCAGGUGACUGAUGAAUGCGGCACCGUUUUGAACGGGUACCUAAUCUGGUCCAGAUAUGCCUGCUGGGGCUGCAAGAACCAAGACACGUUCAAGCACGUUUGCUCCGGCAAGCUUGGGCGAGCAGGUCAAGACCUCAGAGUUUUAGAAAGCAGGGGCGAAGUUUUCAAGCACGAUGGGAACACCUGUAGGUGCAGGUGCCUGAGGGUCGGCCGACCACCUCGCAUCUGAGGCUGGAUCCGCACACGGAGAACGACAACUGCUCACAGGGACGUGCGUCCGGAGGAAAGUUGCGAAUGAGGGAGGAGAAGGAGCCAGUCUGGAAGGGAGGCUGACAAGUUUCAUUUUUAAAAAUUGAUCUGCACUUGGAUAUCUCUGGAGAUGCCAGUAAGGUUGUUGGGUACAGAGGUCUGCAGCUCAGAGACCAGCAGGCAUCCUGAACAAGACAGAUCCAGGCAGACGGAAUGGCCUGUAGGAGAACUUGGCAGAGGGCACAACCAAGAAGAGUUCAAAGGCGCUGGCCAGUUCCAUGCGACUGCAUGGGGUCAUGGGAGAAGAGAUACACUUAAACCAGGGUCCCACAGGCUCAAUGGGUCUCCUUCCAAAAUCAGCUUCCAAUGAGCCCUCAGAUUCUCCAAAUACUGGGCAGCUGGAUUUCCCAGACACCUUCUGCAAUCUGCUGACAUCUAAUAUACCUGUAGACUGUUCUCCUGCUGACAAGGUUGUUCUUGCUCUUAUCCUAUAAAGAAGAGAGGUGGCAGAGAGUUGGAGGGGAGGGCCUCCUUCCCUGGCAUGUCCAUCCGAGGGUCUCCAAGAACAUCCUGGCUGUGGCCCACACCUUUCUGUGUGGUUAGGAGGAGUAUCGGAUGCCUUCUCUUUCCAACCUUGGCUUGUGUGAAGAUGGUGUUAUGGUGAUGUAAGAGGACGGCUCUAUUCUGAGUGAUGCAAGAUCCAACAUUUAGGCAUGAAAUGCCAUGAUGACAGCCGCCUACUUUAGCAAAAGGGAAGUUGUGUGUGUGUGUGUGUGUGUGUGUGUGUGUGUGUGUGUGUGUGUGUUUUUACGCGUAUGCAUAUAAAUAGAGGAAGUCGCUGCAGCUAGAUGGUGAAUCUACGUGAGGAGUAUCUGGCUGUUCCUUGUACUGUUCUUUCAACUUUCUGUGGGUUUGAAAAUUUUCAAAACAAGACAAAAAAUGUUUUUCAAGCACUGUUUGAGAGGAUAGGAAAUAGAAAUGGCUCUUAUUAAAGAGCCAUUCAGAAGACUGUUUUCUUCUAUUUCCUUUUCCCCCACGACUAUGACCCUCAGUGCCAGCGAUUUCUCCUUUCCAUAAACUUUUGUUUGACCUUAAAUCAUUGUGACACCACUGAGCAGGGAAUCUCAAUAAUGGCUGACAUAUCUGGUAGCAAAAGG